RNAcentral lists this ribosomal RNA (490 nucleotides) under uncultured bacterium. Its description in RNAcentral is "partial 16S ribosomal RNA". It matches the Rfam family "Bacterial small subunit ribosomal RNA", at positions 29 to 507 of the family's 1533-position model. The record is from RNAcentral.
AGUGAACGCUGGCGGUAGGCCUAACACAUGCAAGUCGAACGGCAGCACAGUAAGAGCUUGCUCUUACGGGUGGCGAGUGUCGGACGGGUGAGGAAUACAGCGGAAUCUACUUUUUCGUGGGGGAUAACGUAGGGAAACUUACGCUAAUACCGCAUACGACCUACGGGUGAAAGCAGGGGAUCUUCUGACCUUGCGCGAUUGUAUGAGCCGAUGUCGGAUUAGCUAGUUGGCGGGGUAAAGACCAACCAAGGCGACGAUCCGUAGCUGGUCUGAGGAUGAUCAGCCACACUGGAACUGAGACACGGUCCAGACACCUAAGGGAGGAAGCAGUGGGGAAUAUUGGACAAGGGGCGCAAGCCUGAUCCAGCCAUACCGCGUGGGUGAAGAAGGACUUCGGGUUGUAAAGCCAUUUUGUUGGGAAAGAAAAGCAGCAGGUUAAUACCCCGCUGUUCUGACGGUACCAAAAGAAUAAGCACCGGCUAACUUCGUG